Molecule: ribosomal RNA, 446 nt
Filed under: Tenellia sp. 12 DS-2016
Lineage: Eukaryota; Metazoa; Mollusca; Gastropoda; Nudibranchia; Trinchesiidae
Description: partial 16S ribosomal RNA
Rfam family: Archaeal large subunit ribosomal RNA
Source: RNAcentral
AGCCMCUAGAAGAUAUUUUUGGUYUAACCUGCCCAAUGUUAUAAUAAUGCGAGAAUUAAUGGCCGCGGUACCCUGACCGUGCUAAGGUAGCGUAAUAAGUUGGCUUUUAAAUGGAGUCAGGUAUGAAUGGAUUAACUGGGUUUAGCUGUCUCAUAGAUAUUAUAUUGAAUUUACUGUUCAAGUGAAAAAGCUUGAGUUUCAAAAAGGGACGAGAAGACCCUUAAAAUUUUAAUUAAAAGUAGUUGUUAAUUGCUGCAAUUUUGUUGGGGCGACAUAGAAAUAUUUAAAACUUUCUGUAAUUUUAUAAGCCGAAUUUUUUAAGUUAGGAUAAAUUACUUAAGGGAUAACAGCAUAAUUCUAAAGUUGAGUUUGUGACCUCGAUGUUGGACUAGGAAGCUAGCAGGUUAGAUGCCUGUUGUGCAGAUUCUGUUCGAAUUUUAACUCCU